AUCUUGCGCAAUGGGCGAAAGCCUGACGCAGCCAUGCCGCGUGGAUGAUGAAGGUCUUAGGAUUGUAAAAUCCUUUCACCGGGGACGAUAAUGACGGUACCCGGAGAAGAAGCCCCGGCUAACUUCGUGCCAGCAGCCGCGGUAAUACGAAGGGGGCUAGCGUUGCUCGGAAUUACUGGGCGUAAAGGGCGCGUAGGCGGACAGUUUAGUUGGGGGUGAAAGCCCGGGGCUCAACCUCGGAAUUGCCUUCAAUACUGGCUGUCUUGAGUGUGAGAGAGGUGUGUGGAACUCCGAGUGUAGAGGUGAAAUUCGUAGAUAUUCGGAAGAACACCAGUGGCGAAGGCGACACACUGGCUCACUACUGACGCUGAGGCGCGAAAGCGUGGGGAGCAA
This 393-nucleotide ribosomal RNA is filed under the name uncultured bacterium. RNAcentral's name for it is "bacterial SSU rRNA". It matches the Rfam family "Bacterial small subunit ribosomal RNA", at positions 361 to 771 of the family's 1533-position model. The record is from RNAcentral.